RNAcentral lists this long non-coding RNA (329 nucleotides) under Mytilus galloprovincialis (Mediterranean mussel). Lineage: Eukaryota; Metazoa; Mollusca; Bivalvia; Mytilida; Mytilidae. The record is from RNAcentral.
UAAUUAUGAUUAUGAUAAUUCUCACCUUGUAAUUGGAAAUCGUCUUGAAAUGCACAGUUUUCCUCAUUAUUUUCUAAACAACUUGGUCCAGCUGCGUGAUCAGUUUGCUGACCACGUAAUAUAAGGUUUUCGUCAAAACAUUUAUUCUCUUCUUGACCUGUUGACUUCGCAUUUUUGUACUAAAACAAUCAAGCUCGAUACGCAUCUAUCAUUGUGAACCAUUGAACAUUUCCUUCAGCACAUGCCUCUCUACAUGCUCUAUUUAUAGUUAUAUGUAAAAUUCAAAUUUAAAUUUGUCAUUGAACGGAAGUUUAUUAUGCAGCAGUAUA